UCUCUCUCUAACUUCUCUCUAACCUCCCUAAACCCCUCCCAAGUCUAGGGAACCUCCCUAUCACGAGAAGAAAGCCCCGGAGCGCCCGACGGCUCCGAGAAGAAAAGCUUUCGGCUCGGAAACGCUGCUCCAGCGAAGCCCGGUUUUUAAUAAAAACCCGCUGUUUCGUCAAGGGAUAAUUGUUUUAAGAGUAACGAAGUGCUGUCCGAGUGCCGACUCACCACCUUUCAAGUGACGAAGUGAAGUGACAUUACACUGAGAGAUUUAAAGAGAUGUAGAUCACUAGUGUAAAUCAUUGUACUUCUGAUGAUCGCGGGAAGGCGAAGACGUGACCGUACACAUCCUCAUAUUUUAUGGCCUUAUGAUUUUGGGAUACUCUGAUAAACACUUUGGAAACAAUGAUUUUGUAAAAAUUUUAUGAUUAUGGGUUGUUUUGAAAAGUUCAAAAUUGUUGUGAUUUUUGAGACGUUACAAGUUUGUAUCAUAGCUUUGGUUUGAGCGAAUUGGAGGAACACCCGUGUGAAUCCAGUCUCAAACUAAGGAGCUGCAAAUGUUUUAAGCCUCAAAGGGACCCACAAGUACAUCUUUUUCAACUUAAUCCAUUAAGUACAAGUCUCCAACCUUCAUAUCUAAAUCAAAAUGAUGUUUAGAUGGAUAAAGUUUCCAAAUUUAUCCAUAACAAGGUCACAAAAUUUAAAGAUUUAAACUUUAUAACUCUAGAAGAAAGAUCAAUGUGAGCAAAGUCUGGAUCUACAAGCUCUAAUGCAACCAACACUUCUUCAAUGAGUUCCUUCUUCUCCAAGGUGCACCAAGAACACUCCAAAGCACUUAAAAACACCUUCUUUUUCUCACAAGGCUCAAUCUAGGGUUAGGGUUACAAGAGAGGGUAUUGGAGAGGUGGAGGCUAAGUAUGGAAUUAGUUUGGGGGAGUUAAGGAGCUUAAAUAAGGCUCAAACCACGAAAAUAGGGGUUGGGAACUAAUCGCGUACACCCAACGUACUAGGAAUGCCCUAGUACGCCCAACGUAUACAACUCAACCCAAAACCGCCCUAACUUCAAACGAUCAUAACUUCUUCGUUUCAACUCCGAUUUCGACGAUCUUUAUAUCCACGCAAAGGUGUUUAGAAGCUCUACAACCCUAUCAACUCUCCUUUGACUUAAAACUUACCGAACUCAAAUCCAAAAUUCAUAAAAGGCUCGAACUAUCACUCUAUGGUUAUACCGUUGGGCUCCAAAGCACCAACCGAAAUCUCGGAUCACCUAAUCUAUAUUACCCACAUCCAAAGGGGCCUAAAUCUCUUUCCUCUUCAUUCUAAGGUUUCUAGGGUCUUAAGUGUGAGCUAUUAGAGAUAGCCAUACUUUUGGUGCUUGUUUUCCAAGGAAGGUUUGAAGAAAGUAGAUUGUUAUAUUUAAUGAUUGCAAAAGGUAUAUAACAAUAAUCUUGUGAUUUUUGAUAUUACAUAGGUUAGAUUAGUUUUUCAAAAUAUGUUGCUAUUAUGAGAAAAACCAUAGAUCUCUAGGUUGCAUGUAGAGAUGCACACAAAAACUGAUUUCACUAUUCGAAAUCGGAUCCAAUCCAAAACCGGAUCGAGUCAAAACCGGAUCGGAUCAGAUUUAAAAUCGGAUCCUAAUCCUACUUUCCAAAUUGGAUUUAAUACCGGAUCGUCAACCAUAUUUUCCAAAAACCGGUUUGAAAACUGACCAAAAUCCAUUAAAACCCCAAAAAAAUCCGGGUCAAACCGAUUUAUAUCAUCGAUUGGGAAGCUGGUUAAUCCGGAUUGAAAUAAAGGCAAACCGGAUCGACGAUGACGUAAGCGAAACCGGAUCGGAUCAGACCAAAUUUGGGUUUUGUGCACCUCUAGUUGCAUGUGACGAUAAAUUGUUUUAUGUAAAUUCCUUGUUUGACUAUUACAGGCUUAUGUCCAAUGGCGGAUCCAGACUUUCAGUCAACUGGGGUCCGCUAGUGGAUCGUUUUCGAACAACUUUGAGCCGUUUCCGGUGGUUACCAAGUACUGUAGUAGUUUUCGGCAGUUUCAGGCGACCGCAAGCAGUUUCUGACGACUAGAGUAGUUUGCAAGCGACUCAGAGCAUAUUCCGGCAAGUGGUUGGUUGUCUCCGACUUCUUUUCUAGGUGAAGUUGUGCAUACCAACAGCUAGGGUAGGCUUAAGAAGAGGGAUACUUUGUUAUCCGCUGAUUCAAGAGGUGCCAAUCUUUUGUGAAGUGGGGCAAUUACUUAUUUCAUAUCAAUAGAUGCAAAAAAAAUUAUACAUAUUUAAUAGGUGUUGCCACUCCAAGUGGUGCCAUACACCCCACUACCCAAAGGGCAGCUCUGCCACUGCUUAUGUCAACAUAACAUGAAAACUCAAAUUAAAAAUAUAUGAUCAUUUCCGAAAAAGGAAAAACUUUCUGAAAUGGAUUUUAGAAAUUCUACAUUUCUAGAAAAUGUUAUUUUUGAUCCAGUGAAGUAUAACAAGCAAAGUAGCAUUUUCAGGCUCCGAAAAUCCGUAGCAUAUUUACAAAAUUCGACAAAACCCUUACAAAAACUCAAAAACUUACCUAAGGCGAUGUACAUUCAAUAUAUGCACAUGAAAGGGUUCCAUUUUAUGAAACAACCGUUGAUAUUAAGGGAGUGUUUAACUAAGCUUCUUAAAACAACUUAUUAGGUUCCACACCACUAUAAGUUAAAAAAAUGUUUAGAUGAAAAAUAACUUAUUCCGGUGGGAACCUCUAAUAAGUCAUUUUUUCAUAAGUUACCCUACACUUAUUAACUUAUAAACUAAUAAGCUAAUAAAUUAUAAGCUAAUAAACAAUAAGUUUUUUUUUUGUCAAACACCCCCUAAGCAUUUUGGAACUUGGGUUCGAGAGAUAAUUUUUUUUUGAAGUGGUAGGGACAAAUGAAAGUGGAAUAAAAUUUAUAUAUAUUUCUAACUCUAAAAUGGAUCUAUUUCGCAUAUAAUGGUCAUUUUGGUAAAUGCCCAAAAGUUUGGUCAACAACCUAUAGUUACUAGUUAGACAUUGACUGUUUAGUUUGUCUUUGAUAUUUAACUGCUCCAUCUAUGGACUAUGGUGAACCUUUUAUAAACAUUUUGGAGUUCUAACAUGUUUAAAUUAUUUGUAAUUUUCCAAUGCCGUUAAGAAAUAAUAUUUUCUUUUUCAAAAUAUAAUAUUAUUUAUAACAUAACAAACAUAAAUCUCAAAAAGAUACAAAUAUCUUCGCCUUAAGUUAUGUAAAAGGAAAUUUCUUGUUUUCAUUAACAUAAUGUAAUUUUUCAAC
Lactuca sativa (garden lettuce) is the source of this 3275-nucleotide non-coding RNA. The record is from RefSeq and is a predicted model, not a curated record. Lineage: Eukaryota; Viridiplantae; Streptophyta; Magnoliopsida; Asterales; Asteraceae.